AGAGUUUGAUCCUGGCUCAGAACGAACGCUGGCGGCAGGCCUAACACAUGCAAGUCGAGCGCCUCAGCAAUGGGGAGCGGCAGACGGGUGAGUAACGCGUAGAUACGUGCCCUUGGGACUGGGAUAGCCACGGGAAACUGUGGGUAACACCAGAUGAUGUCUCCGGACUAAAAGUGUGAUUCUGCCCAAGGAUCGGUCUGCGUCCUAUUAGCUUGUUGGCGGGGUAAUGGCCCACCAAGGCGACGAUGGGUACUGGGUGUGAGAGCACGACCCAGCUCACUGGGACUGAGAUACUGCCCAGACACCUACGGGUGGCUGCAGUCGAGAAUCUUCGGCAAUGGGCGAAAGCCUGACCGAGCGAUGCCGCGUGCGGGAUGAAGGUCUUUGGAUUGUAAACCGCUGUCGAGGGGGAUUAAGGGUAACUUGAAUGAUCCCUGGAGGAAGGACGGGCUAAGUUCGUGCCAGCAGCCGCGGUAAUACGAACCGUCCAAACGUUAUUCGGAAUCACUGGGCUUACAGAGUUCGUAGGCUGCUCGAAAAGUUGGGUGUGAAAUCCCUCGGCUCAACCGAGGAAUUGCGCUCAAAACUACCGAGCUAGAGGGAGAUAGAGGUAAGCGGAACUGAUGGUGGAGCGGUGAAAUGCGUUGAUAUCAUCAAGAACACCGGUGGCGAAUGCGGCUUACUGGGUCUCACCUGACGCUGAGGAACGAAAGCUAGGGGAGCGAACGGGCAUUAGAUACCCCGGUAGUCCUAGCUGUAAACGAUGAGCACUAGUCGAGGGAACUCCACAGUUUCCCGGCCGUAGCGAAGUUGUUCAGUGCUCCGUCUGGGGGAGUAUGGGUCGCAGGCUGAAACUCAAGGACGACGGGGGCUCGACAAGCGAUGCAGGAUGUGGCCUUAGUCCGAGGCCUUACGCCGCUAAGAAAGUUAUCCUAGACUUGACAUGCUUUAGAACCCAGCCGAAAGAUUGGGGUGCCCGCAAGGGAGCUUUAGCACAGGUGCUGCAUGGCUGUCGUCAGCUCGCGUCGUGAGAUGUCGGGUUAAGUCCCUUAACGAGCGAAACCCUUGUCCUUAGUUGCCAGCGAGUAAUGUCGGGGACUCUAAGGAGACUGCCGGUGUUAAACCGGAGGAAGGUGGGGAUGACGUCAAGUCCUCAUGGCCUUUAUGUUUAGGGCUGCACACGUCCUACAAUGGUGCGUACAAAGGGAAGCAAUCUCGUGAGAGCUAGCAAACCCCAAAAAACGCACCUCAGUUCGGAUUGCAGGCUGCAACUCGCCUGCAUGAAGCUGGAAUCGCUAGUAAUCGCGGGUCAGCAUACCGCGGUGAAUGUGUUCCUGAGCCUUGUACACACCGCCCGU
RNAcentral lists this ribosomal RNA (1358 nucleotides) under uncultured bacterium. RNAcentral's name for it is "bacterial SSU rRNA". It matches the Rfam family "Bacterial small subunit ribosomal RNA". The record is from RNAcentral.